GAUGAACGCUGGCGGCGUGCCUAAUACAUGCAAGUCGAGCGAACGGACGAGAAGCUUGCUUCUCUGAUGUUAGCGGCGGACGGGUGAGUAACACGUGGAUAACCUACCUAUAAGACUGGGAUAACUUCGGGAAACCGGAGCUAAUACCGGAUAAUAUUUUGAACCGCAUGGUUCAAAAGUGAAAGACGGUCUUGCUGUCACUUAUAGAUGGAUCCGCGCUGCAUUAGCUAGUUGGUAAGGUAACGGCUUACCAAGGCAACGAUGCAUAGCCGACCUGAGAGGGUGAUCGGCCACACUGGAACUGAGACACGGUCCAGACUCCUACGGGAGGCAGCAGUAGGGAAUCUUCCGCAAUGGGCGAAAGCCUGACGGAGCAACGCCGCGUGAGUGAUGAAGGUCUUCGGAUCGUAAAACUCUGUUAUUAGGGAAGAACAUAUGUGUAAGUAACUGUGCACAUCUUGACGGUACCUAAUCAGAAAGCCACGGCUAACUACGUGCCAGCAGCCGCGGUAAUACGUAGGUGGCAAGCGUUAUCCGGAAUUAUUGGGCGUAAAGCGCGCGUAGGCGGUUUUUUAAGUCUGAUGUGAAAGCCCACGGCUCAACCGUGGAGGGUCAUUGGAAACUGGAAAACUUGAGUGCAGAAGAGGAAAGUGGAAUUCCAUGUGUAGCGGUGAAAUGCGCAGAGAUAUGGAGGAACACCAGUGGCGAAGGCGACUUUCUGGUCUGUAACUGACGCUGAUGUGCGAAAGCGUGGGGAUCAAACAGGAUUAGGUACCCUGGUAGUCCACGCCGUAAACGAUGAGUGCUAAGUGUUAGGGGGUUUCCGCCCCUUAGUGCUGCAGCUAACGCAUUAAGCACUCCGCCUGGGGAGUACGACCGCAAGGUUGAAACUCAAAGGAAUUGACGGGGACCCGCACAAGCGGUGGAGCAUGUGGUUUAAUUCGAAGCAACGCGAAGAACCUUACCAAAUCUUGACAUCCUUUGACAACUCUAGAGAUAGAGCCUUCCCCUUCGGGGGACAAGGUGACAGGUGGUGCAUGGUUGUCGUCAGCUCGUGUCGUGAGAUGUUGGGUUAAGUCCCGCAACGAGCGCAACCCUUAAGCUUAGUUGCCAUCAUUAAGUUGGGCACUCUAAGUUGACUGCCGGUGACAAACCGGAGGAAGGUGGGGAUGACGUCAAAUCAUCAUGCCCCUUAUGAUUUGGGCUACACACGUGCUACAAUGGACAAUACAAAGGGCAGCGAAACCGCGAGGUCAAGCAAAUCCCAUAAAGUUGUUCUCAGUUUGGAUUGUAGUCUGCAACUCGACUACAUGAAGCUGGAAUCGCUAGUAAUCGUAGAUCAGCAUGCUACGGUGAAUACGUUCCCGGGUCU
Molecule: ribosomal RNA, 1372 nt
Filed under: uncultured bacterium
Lineage: Bacteria
Description: bacterial SSU rRNA
Rfam family: Bacterial small subunit ribosomal RNA
Source: RNAcentral